UCGCCCUUAGAGUUUGAUCCUGGCUCAGGACGAACGCUGGCGGCGUGCCUAAUACAUGCAAGUCGAGCGAGCGGAACUAACAGAUUUACUUCGGUAAUGACGUUAGGAAAGCGAGCGGCGGAUGGGUGAGUAACACGUGGGGAACCUGCCCCAUAGUCUGGGAUACCACUUGGAAACAGGUGCUAAUACCGGAUAAGAAAGCAGAUCGCAUGAUCAGCUUUUAAAAGGCGGCGUAAGCUGUCGCUAUGGGAUGGCCCCGCGGUGCAUUAGCUAGUUGGUAAGGUAAAGGCUUACCAAGGCGAUGAUGCAUAGCCGAGUUGAGAGACUGAUCGGCCACAUUGGGACUGAGACACGGCCCAAACUCCUACGGGAGGCAGCAGUAGGGAAUCUUCCACAAUGGACGCAAGUCUGAUGGAGCAACGCCGCGUGAGUGAAGAAGGUUUUCGGAUCGUAAAGCUCUGUUGUUGGUGAAGAAGGAUAGAGGUAGUAACUGGCCUUUAUUUGACGGUAAUCAACCAGAAAGUCACGGCUAACUACGUGCCAGCAGCCGCGGUAAUACGUAGGUGGCAAGCGUUGUCCGGAUUUAUUGGGCGUAAAGCGAGCGCAGGCGGAAGAAUAAGUCUGAUGUGAAAGCCCUCGGCUUAACCGAGGAACUGCAUCGGAAACUGUUUUUCUUGAGUGCAGAAGAGGAGAGUGGAACUCCAUGUGUAGCGGUGGAAUGCGUAGAUAUAUGGAAGAACACCAGUGGCGAAGGCGGCUCUCUGGUCUGCAACUGACGCUGAGGCUCGAAAGCAUGGGUAGCGAACAGGAUUAGAUACCCUGGUAGUCCAUGCCGUAAACGAUGAGUGCUAAGUGUUGGGAGGUUUCCGCCUCUCAGUGCUGCAGCUAACGCAUUAAGCACUCCGCCUGGGGAGUACGACCGCAAGGUUGAAACUCAAAGGAAUUGACGGGGGCCCGCACAAGCGGUGGAGCAUGUGGUUUAAUUCGAAGCAACGCGAAGAACCUUACCAGGUCUUGACAUCUAGUGCCAUUUGUAGAGAUACAAAGUUCCCUUCGGGGACGCUAAGACAGGUGGUGCAUGGCUGUCGUCAGCUCGUGUCGUGAGAUGUUGGGUUAAGUCCCGCAACGAGCGCAACCCUUGUUAUUAGUUGCCAGCAUUAAGUUGGGCACUCUAAUGAGACUGCCGGUGACAAACCGGAGGAAGGUGGGGAUGACGUCAAGUCAUCAUGCCCCUUAUGACCUGGGCUACACACGUGCUACAAUGGGCAGUACAACGAGAAGCGAGCCUGCGAAGGCAAGCGAAUCUCUGAAAGCUGUUCUCAGUUCGGACUGCAGUCUGCAACUCGACUGCACGAAGCUGGAAUCGCUAGUAAUCGCGGAUCAGCACGCCGCGGUGAAUACGUUCCCGGGCCUUGUACACACCGCCCGUCACACCAUGGGAGUCUGCAAUGCCCAAAGCCGGUGGCCUAACCUUCGGGAAGGAGCCGUCUAAGGCAGGGCAGAUGACUGGGGUGAAGUCGUAACAAGGUAACCGUAAAGGGCG
RNAcentral lists this ribosomal RNA (1543 nucleotides) under uncultured bacterium. Its description in RNAcentral is "bacterial SSU rRNA". It matches the Rfam family "Bacterial small subunit ribosomal RNA". The record is from RNAcentral.